GUCAGGUGCUGCAUGGCUGUCGUCAGCUCGUGUCGUGAGAUGUUCGGUUAAGUCCGCUAACGAGCGCAACCCUCGCUGUGUGUUACAAGUGUCACACGGAACUGCCGGUCAUAAACCGGAGGAAGGUGGGGAUGACGUCAAGUCAGCAUGGCCUUUAUAUCCUGGGCUACACACACGCUACAAUGGGAAGGGACAAUAGGUUGCGAAGCCGCGAGGCGGAGCCAAUCCAGCAAAACUUCCCUCAGUUCAGAUUGCAGGCUGCAACCCGCCUGCAUGAAGUUGGAGUUGCUAGUAAACGCAGGUCAGCCAUACUGCGUUGAAUACGUUCCCGGGGCUU
Molecule: ribosomal RNA, 337 nt
Filed under: uncultured Anaerolineaceae bacterium
Lineage: Bacteria; Bacillati; Chloroflexota; Anaerolineae; Anaerolineales; Anaerolineaceae
Description: bacterial SSU rRNA
Rfam family: Bacterial small subunit ribosomal RNA
Source: RNAcentral